Gallus gallus (chicken) is the source of this 624-nucleotide long non-coding RNA. The record is from Ensembl. Lineage: Eukaryota; Metazoa; Chordata; Aves; Galliformes; Phasianidae.
AAUUAACUUCCAGCAGCUAAUGGAUGCUCUAGUUUUGUGUUGUUGUUGUUGUUGUUUUUUUAAUGUUGUUUGUUUUUCUGAAGGGAACACUGAAGUAUUUCUGUCAGAAGACCUCCCUCUGGGUUCUCAAAAUCAUACAGCUAUUAAGCAUCCAGGGAAAUGUAGCAGUCCCAAGGGACAGCCUUCACUCUUACAGAUCAUAAAACAACAACUGUCUUCAAAGACUGCAUCUUCUCUUGUGAUUUAUGCCUCCGGGGAUUAAAACUGCAUGGAGAUUACAUUCCCCAGCCAGGACAUAGCUGGGAAAAGCUGGUUCAGUGCUUCAUACUGUGGCAGUGUUAGGAGGCUGAGGAGACCUGUGGGAAGACAUGGAAGUAACACAUCUGCACUCUGAGGAUGAGUGACUGCCAGCUGUGUUUUACGUUGAAUUUGUGGAGAACUACGUCUUGCUUGCUGCUCUUGGCCAGCCAUGGCAAUUUGUAUGUAGGAUUUCUGUGUCUCUGCUACCCCGUAUGUUAUGAAUAUUUCUUUUGGAGUAGGAUGUUGGUGCCUAAGCCUAAGAUUAGAUGCUGGUAUGUGAUACGUUGUUUACUGCGUUGUAUCGUACCUGGAAAAAUAAAGUGA